This 387-nucleotide ribosomal RNA is filed under the name uncultured bacterium. RNAcentral describes it as "bacterial SSU rRNA". It matches the Rfam family "Bacterial small subunit ribosomal RNA", at positions 28 to 416 of the family's 1533-position model. The record is from RNAcentral.
GACGAACGCUGGCGGCGUGCUUAACACAUGCAAGUCGAGCGGUAAGGCCCUUUCGGGGGUACACGAGCGGCGAACGGGUGAGUAACACGUGGGUGACCUGCCCUUAGCUCUGGGAUAAGCCUGGGAAACUGGGUCUAAUACCGGAUAUGACUCCAUAACGCAUGUUGUGGGGUGAAAGCCUUGUGCGGCUAGGGAUGGGCCCGCGGCCUAUCAGCUUGUUGGUGGGGUGAUGGCCCACCAAGGCGACGACGGGUAGCCGGCCUGAGAGGGCGACCGGCCACACUGGGGACUGAGACACGGCCCAGACUCCUACGGGAGGGCAGCAGUGGGGAAUCUUGCGCAAUGGGCGAAAGCCUGGCGCAGCGACGCCGCGUGGGGAUGACGGCC